GGAUGCUACCUCCGCAAAGGAGAGGAAGGGGAAGAAUUUUACUACCAAAAGUGUUUCGGAAACAUUAAGAAAAGCAAAGUGAAAUUCGGUAGACUCCGACCACUGAGUCUGUUACAUGUACCUGUGUAUUUUGAAUCUCCAAGACAGUACCACAGGUCUGGAUCUUCCCCCUCCCUCUCCACAAGGCUCCUAUCAAAUUCCAGCUCUUCCAGGAAGUCCUCUUACAAAUUCCUCAGGUCCUCCAUGUUGGUCAAUGGAUAGAAAGGCUGAGCUGGUAUCAGCUGGUUCCAUGGCUGAUCGGCUGGCUGGACAAAACGGCUGACUACAUGGAGAGUCAUCGAAAGCUGAUGUUGUUUAGAGCUCCAUAAUCCACAGAGCCGAAACCAGAGGUUCCUGAAGAAG
Molecule: long non-coding RNA, 402 nt
Organism: Pan troglodytes (chimpanzee)
Lineage: Eukaryota; Metazoa; Chordata; Mammalia; Primates; Hominidae
Exons: 3
Source: RefSeq, a predicted model, not a curated record